RNAcentral lists this ribosomal RNA (965 nucleotides) under Leaus sp. COL1085. RNAcentral's name for it is "SSU rRNA". It matches the Rfam family "Eukaryotic small subunit ribosomal RNA", at positions 32 to 940 of the family's 1831-position model. Lineage: Eukaryota; Metazoa; Arthropoda; Insecta; Coleoptera; Tenebrionidae. The record is from RNAcentral.
UUGUCUCAAAGAUUAAGCCAUGCAUGUCUCAGUACAAGCCUAAUUAAGGUGAAACCGCGAAAGGCUCAUUAAAUCAGUUAUGGUUCCUUAGAUCGUACCCACAUUUACUUGGAUAACUGUGGUAAUUCUAGAGCUAAUACAUGCAAACAGAGCUCCGACCGGAGACGGAAGGAGCGCUUUUAUUAGAUCAAAACCAAUCGGUGGCGGUUUAUCCGUCAUCGUACAAUUUGGUGACUCUGAAUAACUUUACGCUGAUCGCACGGUCUUGCACCGGCGACGCAUCUUUCAAAUGUCUGCCUUAUCAACUGUCGAUGGUAGGUUCUGCGCCUACCAUGGUUGUAACGGGUAACGGGGAAUCAGGGUUCGAUUCCGGAGAGGGAGCCUGAGAAACGGCUACCACAUCCAAGGAAGGCAGCAGGCGCGCAAAUUACCCACUUCCGGCACGGGGAGGUAGUGACGAAAAAUAACGAUACGGGACUCAUCCGAGGCCCCGUAAUCGGAAUGAGUACACUCUAAACCCUUUAACGAGGAUCAAUUGGAGGGCAAGUCUGGUGCCAGCAGCCGCGGUAAUUCCAGCUCCAAUAGCGUAUAUUAAAGUUGUUGCGGUUAAAAAGCUCGUAGUCGAAUCUGUGUCCCGCGCCGCCGGUUCAUCGUUCGCGGUGUUAACUGGCGUGUCGCGGGACGUCCUGCCGGUGGGCUUAGCUCGAGAGGGCGGCCCAACUCAAUCCCGCCGCGGUGCUCUUCAUUGAGUGUCGAGGUGGGCCGGCACGUUUACUUUGAACAAAUUAGAGUGCUUAAAGCAGGCUAAAACUUCGCCUGAAUACUGUGUGCAUGGAAUAAUGGAAUAGGACCUCGGUUCUAUUUUGUUGGUUUUCGGAACCCCGAGGUAAUGAUUAAUAGGAACGGAUGGGGGCAUUCGUAUUGCGACGUUAGAGGUGAAAUUCUUGGAUCGUCGCAAGACGGAC